This 67-nucleotide transfer RNA is filed under the name uncultured Polycyclovorans sp. It matches the Rfam family "tRNA". Rfam says of the family: Transfer RNA (tRNA) molecules are approximately 80 nucleotides in length. Their secondary structure includes four short double-helical elements and three loops (D, anti-codon, and T loops). Further hydrogen bonds mediate the characteristic L-shaped molecular structure. tRNAs have two regions of fundamental functional importance: the anti-codon, which is responsible for specific mRNA codon recognition, and the 3' end, to which the tRNAs corresponding amino acid is attached (by aminoacyl-tRNA synthetases). tRNAs cope with the degeneracy of the genetic code in two manners: having more than one tRNA (with a specific anti-codon) for a particular amino acid; and 'wobble' base-pairing, i.e. permitting non-standard base-pairing at the 3rd anti-codon position. Lineage: Bacteria; Pseudomonadati; Pseudomonadota; Gammaproteobacteria; Nevskiales; Nevskiaceae. The record is from RNAcentral.
GGAUUAGCACAGUGGCAGUGCAGCGGUUUUGUAAACCGAAGGUCGGGGGUUCAAAUCCCUCAUCCGG